AUGAGUGGUGUUUGGUUUGAUACGGGUGGUCGGCUCCCUGCUUGAGCAGGCACGGCCAUGCGUGCAUUCCUUUUCAGUUGUGCGGCAAGGCUUGUAUCGUCUUGAUCGUAUAAGUGGGUUUCUUGUGUUGCAUACCUGAUCAAUGGCAUCGUUUUGAUCAAAAUGGUACCUUUUUCGUCUGACGAUGCACUUAUUGUGUUGUCGGAUGAACCGUGUAGCAUCCUCUUUGAUCCAUACAGUUGACGUGUACUCGUUGAUUGUUUGGCCCGUUGAGGGUGACUUGGUCUCUCGGAUAUGGAAGCCAAAGUGGGCAUGGGUUUGCAAGAUCCCUUUAUUGCCCUCAUUGAGCGUUCUCGCUUCUCUUACACGACUGCCUUUCACGUAUGGCACGUCCCAGCGUGUUUGGCUAUGUCGAAGAGGAAU
RNAcentral lists this unclassified non-coding RNA (423 nucleotides) under Solidago arguta. RNAcentral describes it as "partial external transcribed spacer". Lineage: Eukaryota; Viridiplantae; Streptophyta; Magnoliopsida; Asterales; Asteraceae. The record is from RNAcentral.